AAUCAGCACGCCACUGGAUUGUAUCUGUACUUAAGUACGAGUGAAGUAUUAAACCGUGAGUAUUUUAGCUACCUGUGGUAGAACGGCAAGGUUCGUGCGGUCUGGGUUUCCGAUCAUUAAAAACAAACAAGGCCAAGAGGUUGUCGUUGGGCGGGCGGCCUUUGGGAGUGACAGGUAUGAUUCAUGCUCAACGGCAGGAGGUGCGAGGACCGGAGAGAUUAGUGGCCCGCGCCCCCCCCCCCCCCCCCCCCCCAAGGCAACUACCGGGUUCGCUUGAGGAUUAGAGCAGCGUGAACCCAAGCCCGGGCUGUAAUUUGCAAUGCUGCGCACAUGCAAGCGUGCGGCGAGGAUGAUUGGGCAGAGGGGGCGAGGACUAGUGAUUGACGGAUGUGACAGUCCAACUUCACUCUGUGCAGGAGGACAAAGUCUUUUUUUCACUUUUGAGCCAAAUGCCAAUGAGGGGGGGGGGGGACCCCAAAACAACCUUGACUUUUGCCGUUUACUUUUAACACGCAACCAAGACGACAAUCCGGGUCAUGAAUUGAAUAUUUGCAGCUAAUAAUUCUGGGCCAUAUGAACCAACAGUGGUUAAGCUAGCUAGCAACUUUUAACGCUUUAAUUCCACAAGACGUACUUGUAUGUCUUUUUAAAAUUAGGCCCCGCCUACCAAGGUCUAAGUCUUUUUUUUUUUGCGUCAUAGAAAGGAGGAGGGUCUGAUGCAAUCUGUGAAUGAGAAUAAGCCGUUUGCAUUGUAAAUCGUCGAGUCCAAACUAUAUUUUGGUAGGCUGCAUGUUUAUACAGCAUUAGAACCAAAUAUUUUGUGGGCCUUGCAAGAUCAGUCAAAAUCCAGUAAAACGCUGGGAUUGAGGGGGUUGCUCCAGUGAAAAUAGCUGCGAUUGAAUGAGUUAA
Molecule: long non-coding RNA, 909 nt
Organism: Hippocampus zosterae (dwarf seahorse)
Lineage: Eukaryota; Metazoa; Chordata; Actinopteri; Syngnathiformes; Syngnathidae
Exons: 2
Source: RefSeq, a predicted model, not a curated record